RNAcentral lists this ribosomal RNA (232 nucleotides) under uncultured bacterium. RNAcentral's name for it is "partial 16S ribosomal RNA". It matches the Rfam family "Bacterial small subunit ribosomal RNA", at positions 118 to 347 of the family's 1533-position model. The record is from RNAcentral.
UGAGCAAUCUGCCCUUCUCAUCGGAAUAAGCGUUGGAAACGACGUCUAAUGCCGAAUACGACCUCCUUUCGCAUGAUCGGAGGUGGAAAGCUCCGGCGGAGAGGGAUGAGCUCGCGGCCUAUCAGCUAGUUGGUGUGGGUAAUGGCCCACCAAGGCGACGACGGGUAGCCGGCCUGAGAGGGUGACCGGCCACACUGGGACUGAGAUACGGCCCAGACUCCUACGGGAGCAG